UAGCUCAGUGGUUUGAGCAUUGGCCUGUUAAACCCAGGGUUGUGAGUUCAAUUCUUAU
This 58-nucleotide transfer RNA is filed under the name Pelodiscus sinensis (Chinese soft-shelled turtle). It matches the Rfam family "tRNA", at positions 8 to 63 of the family's 71-position model. From Rfam's summary of the family: Transfer RNA (tRNA) molecules are approximately 80 nucleotides in length. Their secondary structure includes four short double-helical elements and three loops (D, anti-codon, and T loops). The record is from Rfam by way of RNAcentral. Lineage: Eukaryota; Metazoa; Chordata; Testudines; Trionychidae.